This 252-nucleotide ribosomal RNA is filed under the name uncultured bacterium. RNAcentral describes it as "partial 16S ribosomal RNA". It matches the Rfam family "Bacterial small subunit ribosomal RNA", at positions 80 to 334 of the family's 1533-position model. The record is from RNAcentral.
CUAGGAGAUGGCGACCGGCGCACGGGUGAGUAACACGUAUCCAACCUGCCGAUAACUCGGGGAUAGCCUUUCGAAAGAAAGAUUAAUACCCGAUGGCAUAAUAGAACCGCAUGGUUUGAUUAUUAAAGAAUUUCGGUUAUCGAUGGGGAUGCGUUCCAUUAGGCAGUUGGUGGGGUAACGGCCCACCAAACCUUCGAUGGAUAGGGGUUCUGAGAGGAAGGUCCCCCACAUUGGAACUGAGACACGGUCCAA